CUGUAUUGCCGCCAUAUCAUUGCUGACCGUUUUGCGAGGCUUUGUGUGUGUGUGUGUGCGUUUCCCAAAGUGGUGUUGCGCAUUGUUUUGGUGGAAUUUUUUUGUGUAUUUUCGCCUCGUAUAUUUUUCCACAGCGUAUUCGGGGUCGUCAGGCCAAAGGAAACAAACACGCAAACGAGCCAGACAAACGAAUUGGCGUGACUGCUCUCCUUGCCGUCUCCCUGGCGUGGCCGCUUCCCCCAUUCGCGCACCGGUUCUGCUUUGACGCGCUGCCGACCUUGAGCGCUGUGAAGCAAGUAAGAACAUUGACUGGCGCACAGCACACUCUGCGUCUUCCCUUCACUCCUCGGAUCUCCCUGCACACGAGGAAGCAGAGAUGGAGCUCGCCACAAUGGACCCUGUUGCGCAGCAGGAGCUGCAGCGCAUGACGCGGGCGAUCGAGGAGUACGCGGCUCGGUUGGACUCGCUCGGCGCCGAACUGGAGACAAUCGAGCAGCAGAACCGCAACGAUGAAGUGAGUCGCCAGAUUCAGCAGUACAACGAGGCCACGGUGGCGCCACAGGAGAUCGCCGCCGAGGAUGCCAUGGACAACAUCGUCCGUCUGCAGAACCAGCUGAAGAUUGUGCAACGCCGGAACCAGCUGCUGGCGCGCGAGAAUGCCAUGCAGGAGAAGCUGCUGCGCGAACGGGCAAACAAGCUUCACAGCACGCACAAAGAGCUGGACAUGGUAAUGGCUGCAACGGGCUGGUACGGCGGCAAGCGUGAUGUGCAGUUCUCACGGAUCGAGCGCGAGCGGGCGGAUAUUCAUGACAUGUCGCUUGUGGAGGCGUCUCUGCGCGCCGACAUCAAGAGCAGCAAGGUGACGAUUGCAAGGCUGGAGAAGACGGUGCUAGCGCUGAGCGCGAAGGUGCUGGAGAACGAGGAGCGUCGCACGAGGUACAUGCAGCUGUGCAACGACUGCCGGGUGCGAGAGAAAGAGUGCAACGAGCUGCAGGCCAAGGCGCAGCGCAUGGCGGCGGACAAUAAUAAGCUGCAGCUGGUGGUCAAGACAGAAAGCGACUCAACCCUCGUCGAGAAUAGCAUCGCGUGCAUGGAGAGCGAUCGCGAGUUCCUCUCCGACGCCGUACAGGACAUGAAGAUGGCCUGCCGCCGCCAGGAAAACGUUAUCAAGGCGCAACUAACCCGUGAGCAGCAGCUGCAACGGCGCUUGGAUACCGUGACCAAGUCGCUGAAUGAGAUGCGGCUGGCGCGCGAAUUCGAACGCAACGUCGCCAAGUCGGCGUUGGUGCCGUCGGCCUCGCGCGAGGAGCCGGAGGACGUGUCGGAGGUGCUGCCACAGGAUGAGUACAUACCAGUGGACACUUUCCGACUUCUCUACAAGAACAACGAGAUGAUGCGCACCAAUGUAGCACGCAAGAACAUGCUCGUGCUGGAGAAGGAGAGCGUUGUACAGUCGAUGGAGGCGAGGCUGAUGCAGCACGUUGAAAAGCACAACGAAGUUGCCCGCUUUGAUGACAGCAUUCACAUCUCCGGCGAAGCAUCUGUGCGAGCCGCAAAGCGCAACCUCGAUGCCGAGGAGAAUAAGCUGGUGCGCCAAAUCGAGGAGCUGCGUGCGUCGAACAAUCAGAUGCGCGCUGCUAUCGCCAAGAAUGCGGCACCGACGCAGGCUCGCAAGGCGGCAUCGGGUCGCAGGAAAUGAGGCAACAAGUGGAGGUGAGGCGGGGAUAAAAUCGCGUGAAGCGAGCAGGUGUGCCGCGUGCCUCGUGUGUGUGUGCGUAAAUAUCUUUUCUCUGCUUCUCUUCCUCGUCGUACGCUGCGUUUCGUUGAUCUCCUCAUUUCGGAGAGGAUUGGAGCGCUGACCCACGCACCUCUACCGAAGACCAGAGGGUUACCGGCAUUUGUUUUCCUUACCGCCCUCACGGAUAUUUGGUGUGGGUGGUGCGCUGUGCUUCCCCCCUCCGCUUGUUGCGAGUCCCCCUGUACGGGCGCACACCCGUUGAUGAAGAGAGUUUUCUUUGGCGUUGUUGCUUUUUGUUCUCGUUCUUCCUCCUUUCGUGCUUUUUUUCUUUAUCUCUUUCCGUGUUUCCCCCUCCCCUGCCAUACUCUCCCUCAGCGCUGGGUCAGCUCUUCGCUUUCUUCUUGCUCUGGUGAUUCGGACACGCACUUCUGUGCCUCCUCGUCGCCGUUCCAACUGUACUGACACAACCCUCCCCGUUGUGCUUACUUGUAUCUUUUGUUUUUGCUCGUUUUGCUUCUCCCUCUUCCCGUAGUGUGUGAGUGCGUGGGCGUGCAGACGUUUGUGAGUCUUCUCGUGUCUGUCUAAGUGUCUGUGAGCUUGCGCGUCGUUGAUCAACGGAGUUGUCGUCACUUCUCCAUCCUGUACGGUCUUACCUUUGUUUUGUCUUCUUUGUAUUCCUUUUCUUUUCCUCCUCUCUUUCCUCUCUGCCACUUUCCUUUCACUCUGUGCCUGUGUGCCCACUCGGGUGUACGCGCUCAUCGUUUCUCCGCCUCUUCCCGUCUCCUGUGCGUGCGGGACGUACGUGCAGCUGCGUUGAAGGCCGCACCCUUUCCGUCUAACGCUGUGCGAGGACGAACGCGAUCGACUUCGCUUUCGCAGUGGGGUGCGGUACUCACUGCAUGUGCCCAUCCCCCUUCCCCUCCCCCGUUUUUGGAGACCGAAAGAAGAGCGCGCAGCGGCAGAGUUGAUGGCAGGGGGAGGCUUAGGGUGACUUGCAAACUGCCCUGUGCGCCGCCCCCUUCUCUCCCAGCAUUUUAGAGAAUGAGAAGGCAUAACACGAAUGGAAGAUGAUGUAUCUCCCUGAAGCAACACGAAACUGUAAAGAAAAUGCAAUCAAGCGCACAGGCACUUUCCUUCUUCCAAUG
RNAcentral lists this unclassified non-coding RNA (2883 nucleotides) under Leishmania donovani. RNAcentral's name for it is "gene:LdHU3.35.4930(CDS-product:hypothetical_prote in_conserved)". Lineage: Eukaryota; Euglenozoa; Kinetoplastea; Trypanosomatida; Trypanosomatidae. The record is from RNAcentral.